UGUGAUGAACAUUUGGUGAUUUUAGUCC
RNAcentral lists this non-coding RNA (28 nucleotides) under Mus musculus (house mouse). Lineage: Eukaryota; Metazoa; Chordata; Mammalia; Rodentia; Muridae. The record is from RNAcentral.